Molecule: non-coding RNA, 80 nt
Organism: Acetobacter indonesiensis
Lineage: Bacteria; Pseudomonadati; Pseudomonadota; Alphaproteobacteria; Acetobacterales; Acetobacteraceae
Source: Rfam
GCGCCGGGCCCUCGUGAUUUGUAAGGCCGGCUUGCGGCGAGGUAAAACAAACGCGCUAAAGAGGCUUUGGGCAGGCGUAC